RNAcentral lists this ribosomal RNA (252 nucleotides) under uncultured bacterium. RNAcentral's name for it is "partial 16S ribosomal RNA". It matches the Rfam family "Bacterial small subunit ribosomal RNA", at positions 524 to 776 of the family's 1533-position model. The record is from RNAcentral.
UACGUAGGUGGCAAGCGUUGUCCGGAAUUACUGGGCGUAAAGCGCGCGCAGGCGGUUCUUCAAGUCAGUGGUGAAAGCCCGGAGCUCAACUCCGGAACUGCCAUUGAUACUGAGGGUCUUGAGUAUGACAGAGGUGAGUGGAACUGCGAGUGUAGAGGUGAAAUUCGUAGAUAUUCGCAAGAACACCAGUGGCGAAGGCGGCUCACUGGGUCAUUACUGACGCUGAGGCACGAAAGCGUGGGAGCAAACAGG